Molecule: long non-coding RNA, 252 nt
Organism: Vespula pensylvanica (western yellowjacket)
Lineage: Eukaryota; Metazoa; Arthropoda; Insecta; Hymenoptera; Vespidae
Exons: 2
Source: RefSeq, a predicted model, not a curated record
CCUACGAGUAUUACUAACUACAAUGAUGCACGAAUCAUUUUAUUGGAUUAUUAUCCGAGUAAAUCCGAAUUUAACCGAAUGUUACCGAUCUGAUUUGAUGACGUAUAUCUACUCGUUAAAUACAAAACGAAUUUUCGUUUCAGAUCAUAGAAAAGCGUCUUCAUAAGUCCAGAGAAGGUAAAUUAAAAAGGAAUGAAGGUUUAGGAUUAUUACAAAUAACUGUAAUUCUAAAUUAAAAUUAUAUGAUCAUUU